RNAcentral lists this ribosomal RNA (2179 nucleotides) under human gut metagenome. RNAcentral's name for it is "bacterial LSU rRNA". It matches the Rfam family "Bacterial large subunit ribosomal RNA", at positions 321 to 2480 of the family's 2925-position model. The record is from RNAcentral.
CCGGCUGGGGAGCGGAACGGCAUGGGAGGGCCGGCCGCAGCGGGUGACAGCCCCGUACGCGAACCCAGACCGGACGGCGCGACGCGGUCCCUGAGUAGGGCCGGGCACGUGAAACCCGGUCCGAACCUGGGUGGACCACCAUCCAAGCCUGAGUACUACCCUGUGACCGAUAGCGCACCAGUACCGUGAGGGAAAGGUGAAAAGCACCCCGGGAGGGGAGUGAAACAGUACCUGAAACCGUGCGCCCACGAGCAGUCGGAGCACCCUUGUGGUGUGACGGCGUGCCUUUUGUAGAAUGAGCCAGCGAGUCGCUGGCGCGGGGCGAGGUUAACCGAAAGGGAGCCGGAGCGAAAGCGAGCCUUAACAGGGCGACUUGAGUCCCGCGCCGCGGACGCGAAGCCGGGUGAGCUAUCCGUGGGCAGGCUGAAGCGGGGGUAAGACCCCGUGGAGGGCCGAACGCACGUCGGUUGAAAACGGCGGCGAUGACCUGCGGAUAGGGGUGAAAGGCCAAUCAAACCCGGAGAUAUCUCGUUCUCCCCGAAAUAGCUUUAGGGCUAGCGUCGCGCGUUCACCGCCGGAGGUAGAGCACCGGAUGGACGAGGGGGCUUCGCCGCCUACCGAAUCCAACCGAACUCCGAAUGCCGGCGGCCCAGAGCGCGGCAGUCAGAGCAUGUGGGCUAAGCUGUGUGCUCGAGAGGGAAACAGCCCGGACCGCCCGCUAAGGUCCCCAAGUUCCAGCCGAGUGGCAAAGGAUGUGCGUCCGCCCAGACAACCAGGAUGUUGGCUUAGAAGCAGCCAUCCAUUCAAAGAGUGCGUAACAGCUCACUGGUCGAGUGGACAUGCGCCGACAAUACACGGGGCUAAGCUGGACACCGAAGCGGCGGGAUUUUAAUUCAUUAGAAUCGGUAGGGGAGCUUCCCAUGGGCGGAGAAGCCGGAGGGCGACCGACGGUGGAGCGCAUGGGAGUGAGAAUGCUGGCAUGAGUAGCGAGAGACGAGAGAGUAACUCGUCCGCCGUGAACCCGAGGUUUCCUGGGCAAGGCUAAUCCUCCCAGGGUCAGUCGGGGGCUAAGGCGAGGCCGGUAGGCGUAGCCGACGCGCAGCAGGCAGACAUUCCUGCACCGCGCACGCGGCGCUACGACCGACGGGGCGACGGAUGGGGGUGGCUCGGCGGGGUUCUGGACGUCCCCGUGAUGGAGCGCGGCCCGCGGACCAGGGAAAUCCGGUCCGCAUUGAGGGCGAGGCUCCGGACGAAGCGAUUGAGCGAAGCGAGUGAGCCCGAGGUCCCUAGAAAAACCCCUAGGCAGGCGCGUGCGCGCCCGUACCGCAAACCGACACAGGUGGGUGGGUAGAACAUACCGAGGCGAUCGGGUCAACCAUGGUCAAGGAACUCGGCACAAUGGCCCCGUAACUUCGGGAGAAGGGGUGCCCGCGCGUACGUGAACCGGCUCGCCCGGGGAGCGGAGGCGGGCCGCAGUGGAGAGGCCCAAGCGACUGUUUACCAAAAACACAGGACUCUGCAGAAGCCGCAAGGCGACGUAUAGGGUCUGACGCCUGCCCGGUGCCGGAAGGUCACGCGGAGGAGUUAGCGCAUCGCGCGAAGCCCCGAAGCCAAGCCCCGGUAAACGGCGGCCGUAACUAUAACGGUCCUAAGGUAGCGAAAUUCCUUGUCGGGUAAGUUCCGACCUGCACGAAAGGCGCAACGACUUGGGCGCUGUCUCGACCAUGGACCCGGUGAAAUUGCACUGGUCGUGAAGAUGCGACUUACCCGCGGAAGGACGGAAAGACCCCGUGAACCUUCACUGCAGCUUGGCAUUGGCCGCUGGUCCCGCGUGUAGAGGAUAGGCAGGAGGCGAAGAUCCGGAGGCGCCAGCCCCCGGGGAGCCGCCCUUGGAAUACUGCCCUCGCGCGACCGGCGUCCUAACCCGAGGCCGUCAACCGGCUCGGGGACCGUGCCAGGCGGGCAGUUUGACUGGGGCGGUCGCCUCCUAAAGGGUAACGGAGGCGCGCGAAGGUCCGCUCGGGACGGUCGGCAACCGUCCUUUUGAAUGCAAGAGUACAAGCGGGCUUGACUGCGAGGCCCACAAGCCGAGCAGGUGCGAAAGCAGGCUCUAGUGAUCCGGCGGCCCCGAGUGGGUGGGCCGUCGCUCAACGGAUAAAAGGUACUCCGGGGAUAACAG